AAUGAACGUUGGCGGCGUGGAUUAGGCAUGCAAGUCGAGCGAGAAGGGACCUCUCAUUUAUCCCCCGGACGUAUUGUUGGAAAUACGGCCACCGGGGGCUAAUUGAGGGGUCCCGGACAGCGGCGAAAGGGAGAGUAACGCGUAGUUACCUGCCCCGGGGUCCGGAAUAGCCACGGGAAACUGUGGGUAAUGCCGGAUAACAUCUUCGGAUCAAAGGUGUGAUUCCGCCCUGGGAGGGGACUGCGUCCUACUAGCUUGUUGGCGGGGUAAUGGCCCACCAAGGCAACAAUGGGUAGCGGGUGUGAGAGCAUGACCCGUCUCACUGGGACUGAGACACUGCCCAGACACCUACGGGUGGCUGCAGUCGAGAAUCUUCGGCAAUGGGCGAAAGCCUGACCGAGCGACGCCGCGUGCGGGAUGAAGGCCCUCGGGUUGUAAACCGCUGUCGUAGGGGAGGAAGUCUAUUGGGGUUCUCCCCAGUAGUUGACCUAUCCUAGGAGGAAGUACGGGCUAAGUUCGUGCCAGCAGCCGCGGUAACAC
Molecule: ribosomal RNA, 540 nt
Filed under: uncultured bacterium
Lineage: Bacteria
Description: bacterial SSU rRNA
Rfam family: Bacterial small subunit ribosomal RNA
Source: RNAcentral